UCUUUGAACUACUUGCACCAA
This is a non-coding RNA of Caenorhabditis elegans, 21 nucleotides long. NCBI's taxonomy places the organism in Eukaryota, Metazoa, Nematoda, Chromadorea, Rhabditida, Rhabditidae. The record is from Ensembl.